GAGUCGCAAGACCGCGAGGUUUAGCAAAUCUCUUAAAGCCGUUCUCAGUUCGGAUUGUAGGCUGCAACUCGCCUACAUGAAGUCGGAAUCGCUAGUAAUCGCGGAUCAGCAUGCCGCGGUGAUUACGUUCCCGGGCCUUGUACACACCGCCCGUCACACCAUGAGAGUUUGUAACACCCAAAGCCGGUGGGGUAACCUUUUGGAGCCAGCCGUCUAAGGUGGGACAGAUGAUUAGGGUGAAGUCGUAACAAGGUAUC
RNAcentral lists this ribosomal RNA (257 nucleotides) under uncultured bacterium. Its description in RNAcentral is "partial 16S ribosomal RNA". It matches the Rfam family "Bacterial small subunit ribosomal RNA", at positions 1244 to 1500 of the family's 1533-position model. The record is from RNAcentral.